UUUGCGCAAAGGAUAGAAGCGGCAUCCUUUUUUGCCCUUAAAAGCAAAAAAGAUAUAGCUGAUAGCCUGGUCCCGA
RNAcentral lists this small RNA (76 nucleotides) under Algibacter luteus. RNAcentral's name for it is "Arenitalea lutea Flavo-1 RNA". It matches the Rfam family "Flavo-1 RNA". Lineage: Bacteria; Pseudomonadati; Bacteroidota; Flavobacteriia; Flavobacteriales; Flavobacteriaceae. The record is from RNAcentral.